GACGAACGCUGGCGGCGUGCUUAACACAUGCAAGUCGAACGAUGAAGCCGGAGCUUGCUCUGGUGAAUUAGUGGUGAACGGGUGAGUAACACGUGAGUAACCUGCCCUUGACUCUGGGAUAACUGCGGGAAACUGUAGCUAAUACCGGAUACGACCCUCGGAGGCAUCUCCUGGGGGUGGAAAGAAUUUCGGUCAAAGAUGAACUCGCGGCCUAUCAGCCAGUUGGUGGGGUAAAGGCUCACCAAGGCGACGACGGGUAGCCGGCCUGAGAGGGUGACAGGCCACACUGGGACUGAGACACGGCCCAGACUCCUACGGGAGGCAGCAGUGGGGAAUAUUGCACAAUGGGCGCAAGCCUGAUGCAGCAACGCCGCGUGAGGGAUGACGGCCUUCGGGUUGUAAACCUCUUUUAGCAGGGAAGAAGCGAAAGUGACGGUACCUGCAGAAUAAGCACCGGCUAACUACGUGCCAGCCGCCGCAGUAA
This 484-nucleotide ribosomal RNA is filed under the name uncultured bacterium. RNAcentral's name for it is "partial 16S ribosomal RNA". It matches the Rfam family "Bacterial small subunit ribosomal RNA", at positions 28 to 523 of the family's 1533-position model. The record is from RNAcentral.